UCUCUUUAUGUCCAAAGAGUUGGACGUCCAUCUGACAAAGAUCCAAGGUGUGGUGAUGCUUGGAACAGGAAGGCUGCAGGACAUCUUCGACAGGCUGCUGCUCCAACUUUAGAAGGAGUUCUGAAGCACUUUCAAAUUAGAUAUAGAUCUGAUUUUUGGAGCAUAGAUUCAUGAUGGGAAGACAUUCCAAGUCUUGCCCAAGUGGAUACCAGUAG
Molecule: long non-coding RNA, 215 nt
Filed under: Elaeis guineensis (African oil palm)
Lineage: Eukaryota; Viridiplantae; Streptophyta; Magnoliopsida; Arecales; Arecaceae
Description: long non-coding RNA (EGUI_LNC078302)
Source: RNAcentral